Molecule: long non-coding RNA, 2342 nt
Organism: Symphalangus syndactylus (siamang)
Lineage: Eukaryota; Metazoa; Chordata; Mammalia; Primates; Hylobatidae
Source: RefSeq, a predicted model, not a curated record
GCAGCUAGCCGGGUAGCAGGCGGCGCGUGAGGCCGCUAGGCUGUGAUCCUGCCCCGGGUCUCAGGGAUGGAGGAUGGGAACGUCUGAACAGAGUGGCAUCUUGGGGUUAGAAAGCUCGACCUGGGCAGUACAGCUAUGGGACAGAGUUCCUGGAUAGAGGCUGCGCCAGGAAGCCUAAGUGAAAGGGUGGAAGUGGAUGGUCUCUUAUGGAGGGGGUGUGGGAGCCCAGGGUCGUCACAUCCGGGGAGGGUGGGUGGGAACGUGAAUGGGCGAGAUCCCGGAGGAGGAACCCUCCCAUGUUGUGGAAACUAACUGAGGGCCUGGAAGAGACCAGGCGGGAAUCGAGUAACAAUCCGAGGUGCAGGCUUUGGGACCAGGUGGUCACCUUGGUCUUAGAUGAAUGGCACAUAUGAUCGGUAACCAUCGUGAAAGCUGUGGAUGUCUCUUGUGGAAGGAAAAUAACAUCUCGGGACCCUAAACUCUGCCAAAGAAAAAAGUUAAGCUUAGGGCCGGGCGCAGUGGCUCACACCUGUAAUACUAGCACAAUGCUCAUCUCAGGAGGCCAAGGCCAGCAGAUCAUCUGAGGUCAGGCAUUCGAGACUACCCUGGCCAACAUGGUGAAACCCUGUCUCUACUAAAAAUACAAAAAUUAGCCAGGCGUGGUGGUGCAUGCCUGUAAUCCCAGCUACUUGGGAGGUUAAAGCAGGAGAAUCUCUUGAACCCGAAAGUGGAGGUUGCAGUGAGUGGAGAUCGUGCUCUGGUGUGCACUCCAGCCUGGACGACAGAGCGAGACCCUGUCUCAACAACAACAACAACAAAAAGUUAAGCUUGUGAACUGAGUCACGCAAAAACUGCCUUCCUUCUGUUCCCAAACAGCUUCAAAGACAGAAGCCCACGUAUCUCCCCAGGUGGCCUCCCAGAGGAGUUACUCACAGGGAAAUUCCUUGUCUAUAGAAAAUAACUCAACCAAUUGCCAGUCAGAGAAAACUGAAUCUGCCUGUGACCUGGAAGUGUUGCCCCCUGACCCCACAUCAAUGCUUUGAGUUGUCCCACCUUUCUGGAUGUUCCGUGUGGGAGAUGCGUGAGGGGAGAAGAAAAGACACGUACACAAUACCUUUAAGGGUAAACAACCUUUAUCCCAUGUAAAUGGCAAGGCAGAUAUAAUAAGAAAAUUGCAAUGGGAAGGGUAGAAGGGAAAAUAUAUAUAUAUACCGAUCAGACUAUGGAGGAUUUAUCACAAGACCAAGAAGCAACGGCCUGGGUUCCAAACUCGAACACUACACUCACCAGACUAUGGAGGAUUCACCACGAGACUGGGAAGCAACAGCCUGGGUUCCAGAGUUGGCCACUCCUCCUUGCACAGACGAGGAAAGGUCUCCUGAAGCUUCGGCUGGGCCUGGGACCCUAGCUCAUUUUCUAACAAGUUGUUUGGCAUGACUCCCAGUCACAAGGGCCCUUCACAACUGGGCUGAAGGAACACAAAAAGGUCAACUUGUUUUUGCUAUUGUCUAUUGUUUUUCAAUAACUAAUGUGUAGGAAUAGAUUGAAAUAGAGAUUUCUCUGAAACAGCGCUGGAUGAAAGCUUCAAGGGACUCACAAAACCUGUUCCAGGACUUGGUGACUAUUGUUUGUGUACAGGUUCAAUUGAAUUCAGAUUUAAUAUUUAACUUUGCCUCCACGCUAGACCAAACCAAUAUACAUCUUACAUGUAGUAAUGUCUUAUAACUCCCUAAAAUGUAUAAAGUCAAGCUGUAACCUGACCACCUUGGACACAUGUUCUCAGGAUCCCCUGGGGCUCUGUCAUGGACCAUUGUGAGGUGGGAAGUGGGACUCUGUUCUGGAGGCAGAGUUUGGACACUGGAUCAAGUUGGGGACUAGCUGAAACAGGGCAGGGGUGGAAGCAGCUUUCCAUAAGAUGCCCACCAGUAUGCCAUGUCAGUUUACUAUUGCCGUGGCAACACCUGAACAUUACCCUCCCCUUUUCAUGGCAAUGACCUGAUGACCUGGAAGUUACCACCCUCAUUCUCUACAUUUCUGUGUAAAUCACCCCUUAAUUUGUAUAUAGUUAAAAGUGGGUAUAAAUAUGACUGCAUAACUGUCUCUGAGCUGCUCUUCUGGGCACUGCCUGUGAGUAGCCCUGCUCCACAAGGAGCAGCCCCUCUGCUGCAGCUGUGCACUGCUGCUUCAAUGCAAGUUGCUAUUUAACACCACCAGCUCACCACUGGAUUGUUUCCUGGGCGAAGCCAAGAACCCUCCCAGGCAAAGCCCCAAUUUUGGGGCUUUCCUGUCUUGCAUCAGUUGGUCCCUCAUGGCUCAGAAUAAAUCUCUUCAAGUAUUUUACA